UCUGGUUUGGGGACAGGGUUCACAGGCUGUGCAGGCGAGAGCAGGGCACUGGCUGGAGAGCAGCCGGGUGGGGGAGCAUCCCGGGCCAGCCGAGGGGCUGAGUGCCCCCAAAGCCCACAGGUGCACCCCUUCCCUGAAGCAGAGGUGAGGUUUGGGGGGCUGAGUCCCCGACAGGGUUGUCUCUUGGGUUCCCAGACUGGGGCAGCACCUACUCCGUGUCAGUGGUGGAGACCGACUACGACCAGUACGCGCUGCUGUACAGCCAGGGCAGCAAGGGCCCUGGCGAGGACUUCCGCAUGGCCACCCUCUACAGCCGAACCCAGACCCCCAGGGCUGAGUUAAAGGAGAAAUUCACCGCCUUCUGCAAGGCCCAGGGCUUCACAGAGGAUACCAUUGUCUUCCUGCCCCAAACCGAUAAGUGCAUGACGGAACAAUAGGACUCCCCAGGGCUGAAGCUGGGAUCCCGGCCAGCCAGGUGACCCCCACGCUCUGGAUGUCUCUGCUCUGUUCCUUCCCCGAGCCCCUGCCCCGGCUCCCCGCCAAAGCAACCCUGCCCACUCAGGCUUCAUCCUGCACAAUAAACUCCGGAAGCAAGUCA
This 598-nucleotide long non-coding RNA is filed under the name Homo sapiens (human). RNAcentral's name for it is "long non-coding RNA NONHSAT220395.1". The record is from RNAcentral. Lineage: Eukaryota; Metazoa; Chordata; Mammalia; Primates; Hominidae.